UACGGGGGGGGCAAGCGUUGUUCGGAAUUACUGGGCGUAAAGGGCGCGUAGGCGGUUUCGGAAGUCAUGGGUGAAAGCCCCGGGCUCAACUCGGGAAUGGCCUGUGAAACCACGGGACUGGAGUGCUGGAGAGGGAAGUGGAAUUCCCAGUGUAGCGGUGAAAUGCGUAGAUAUUGGGAGGAACACCGGAGGCGAAGGCGGCUUCCUGGACAGACACUGACGCUGAGGCGCGAAAGCCAGGGGAGCAAACGGG
This 253-nucleotide ribosomal RNA is filed under the name uncultured bacterium. Its description in RNAcentral is "partial 16S ribosomal RNA". It matches the Rfam family "Bacterial small subunit ribosomal RNA", at positions 524 to 776 of the family's 1533-position model. The record is from RNAcentral.